RNA transcript from Daphnia magna, 4244 nucleotides. It is a transcript of the gene named glutamate receptor ionotropic, kainate 2, with no coding region annotated. The transcript is spliced from 21 exons. Lineage: Eukaryota; Metazoa; Arthropoda; Branchiopoda; Diplostraca; Daphniidae. The record is from RefSeq and is a predicted model, not a curated record.
AGUGACUAAAUCUUUCUUUGUUUUUUAAAUCUUUAUCCGCGAAUUAAGGUUUUCAAAGAUUUAGAUCCAUUAAAUCUAGUGCAUUUUUAGAGGAUUUUUUUCCUUUGUUAUUUCUUUUGUUUUUUUCUUUCUUCUUUGCCAUAAUUUGGUUUUCACCUUAUCUGGCAAUGUCGCAGGGACAUCCGUUUUUCUAAAGUUGAAGUGUAAGCAAAAAAUCUUUCAACGAAUAAAACGCAUUUUCGCGGGACGUGGUGAUCCACGUGUUUUUUGCGGCAUUGUUGUUAAAGAAAUCAGUAAAUAGUAAAAUAAUUGCGUUAUUAAUAAGUUGAACUAAGAAAUGUUUCGACUAACUGCAACACAGUAUUAUUGUUGUCGACAGAAAUUAACAUAAACCUUUUCCAGAAUCUUCUUGUUAAAGAGGCUAAUGUUGUAUGUACUGAAACAUAUGACAAAUAAGUGAGUCUAAAUGUAUAAUAUUGUUUGUCAUUUUUACACUAUAAGCUAUGCAGCAAUAAUCUGCCAAUUUACAGAAGGGUAUUGCUAUAACUGAGCAUGUGUUAGAAUCACCAACCUCCAAGAUACAUGAUUGAGGCAUUAACAGAUUAAUAUAAUCACCAAAAAAGCUGAUGGAUGACAUAAUUUAACCCUGGUGUACUUAACCAGCACAUCAUGCUAAUUUGUUAACUCAUGUAGCAGUUUAGUAUGCUGUGAAAAAUUAAUUCUCCAGAACCACCAGGUUGACAAAAAAGUCUAUGGGUUGCUACUCAAAGCAAAGUUGUUCAGCAAGGAAAACUAUUCUUCAUUAACUUCCAUCAAGAAACAUUUUACAAUAAAUCUUUGAAAAAAUGUUUAACCCUGUGAAUGAGUGAACCACAACAACAGCAUAGUUGUGAACAGUACAGGAUCAAUUUCAUCUUUGUUGCAUUGUACAGCUACACACAUUGCAGAUGCUUUGGCAAAUAAUGUAGGCUACGCUGGAGUUCCUUCAAUACUACCAUUGAUUGCAUAAUUAAACUCCUACUGCGGAGUGCAGUUUUCUUAACUUAUCGGGCAAAAUGUUAGACUCGAUUAAAAAGAAAAUUGCUAGGCGCCAUUAUUUUUUAAUCUACGGAAAUAAAAAAGUUGUUGUCCUUUACAAGGAGAUGUUGGUUGUCGAGUUCGUCUUAGAAUCCAGCAACAAAAGAGCUGGCCGAUUUUACACGUGCGGAUCGAUGAGAUGAACAAGUAAUUUUCCGAGAUCAUAUUUGAUUCCUGCUGCAAUGACUUCGAGUUUGGAAGACGUAAAUCAGCUUUAUCAUCUCAUGCAGCCAUAAGGACUAGCAACAAGGUUUAACUGCAAUUAAGAAAAGGUAGCACAGUUCCAGUCUGUAACUAAGUCACUUUUUUCGCAUUUGUUUCGAAAAUACUAGAUGAGUACAACCGCAAUCCUUGUGUUAUGGUAAUUGGCAAAUUUAUCAUUUUUUACCCUAAUUGAUACAUGAUUGAUCUUGUGUCUGGCCUAAAGAAUUUUUGCUCUAAAAUUAGACAUGUCAAACAAUUCCUUAGGUUAAUAAUUGCUAGAAAUGCGCAGUUAAUGCGAUGAAUAGAGUUCUACAUAUUUCUUGUCAUUGCUAUAACCAAAGUUUCACCUAAGAAUUUGGCCCAUCUACCAUGGAAUUGUUCAACAUUGAUGACAGAUCGAAGGACAUUGUCAGCCAGUUAGUAAACUACGCUGUAGAAUCCAGACACAUUCUGCGUCAUGGAACAGUCCCGAAUAAGAAUCCACCUUUCGAUUUUGUGUUCCAGGGACCUAAUGGUUCCUUCACAAGUUAUGGGACCGGACAGAACAUCGCCAAAUGGCUAGCGGCAAAACUCAAAUAUCAGUAUUCUUUCUCUCUGAUCAAUCAAACCCUUAUUGACAAAUAUGGUACAUAUGAGGCUGCGUUCUAUCAAGUUGUACACGAUGAAGAUAUUGACGGCAUUGCGCAAAACUUUUACCUCACUAUGAAUAGAGUACAGAGAUUGGACUACACUACCCACCCUGGAUGGGUUGAUGGAUUUCGGCUUGUUGUACCAAGAUUAGGAGAAGAAAGUCGAUUAUUUGCUUUCAUUGGUCCUUUUGAACCUCUGGUUUGGCUGCUAAUUUUUAUCAGCGUUCUCGUUAUAGUCGCAUUGAUGACGUCGUUUACCAUUUUUUACAAACAUUACCCAUGGAACGCUUCCCAGGUCGAAAAGAAUAAAAAAAACACAGAAAUUGAUACCAGCACCGUAACGAAAAGACCAGUUUCAAGAAACAUUCUUCUGCAUUACCUAGGCUCUCAUUUGAUUUACGUUAUAAACAUAAUGACGAACCAAGGAGGUAGUGAAGCAUUUAGUUACUUUUCUUUUCGGGUCCUGGCUGGCAUUUGGGUCCUAUGCGCCACGGUCCUUGUCAAUUCCUACACGGGCAUUGUCAUUUCAUCAUUAACAACUCCCAAAACGAAACCAUCAGUAGACUCGUUUGAAGACUUGGCUGCAAGUUCAGAUACUGAAAUAGUUCUCCGACAUGACACAUUCAUCGGAGAACAGAUACUGCAAGCAACUUCAGGCGUUUUUAAGGUUCUUGGAGACCGUGCUCGCCAGAAUCCUGAAAACAUUGUUGGCGAUGUUUUUAAGGUCUCGGAAAAAUUAGAGACUGGUCGCUAUGCUUUUCCGUUUGUUCAAACAUUUGCUGUUGCUUUCGUCAGUUCACAGUACAAGAAGGAUCAGCAAUGUCGCUUUAAAGCAUCAAAGCCAUUGCCCUUUUCAACUGGAUAUUAUUCAUGGCUUUUUAAAAAGAAAAGUUCUUACACUGAUGCUCACAGCAGAGCACUUGCGAACCUAUGGGAGACUGGUCUGACAAACUUCUGGGCUUAUAAGGUAUUUCUCCCAAGCGUUCCCAGGGCCGACCAGUGUUUCGUGGAAUCCACCCACCGAGUAUCUCGCAUAGUCCCUAUUCAGUUGUCGGAUUUGACUAGUGCUUUCCUUAUUUUUGGUAUCGGGAUGGGACUGGCGACUCUUAGUUUCUUGUUAGAAAUACUAUUCUCAAAGUUUCAAAGGUUGUCGUUAGUUUAAUGUAAAGAAUCAUAACAGCUGCAGAAUCAGGGGCACCCAACAUGAUAGUUUUAAUAGCGACCUAAUAACUAGUUAAUCGUGUUUAUAGAAAACAAUUUGCCCUUUUAAUCCCUCUUUGGUUCAUAGUUCAACUUUCGUUCAACAGAAUCUGAAAAUACAAGCCUAGAUAGUAAAAGCAGUGGCUGUAAUUCAAAGCAACGUAAGAUGCUAUGCAAAUUGCACGAAAUCUACUUCCCACAGUUUUGUCACGAAAGUUUUUCCGCCCAUCGAUCGUUGUGUUCUACGAGAAAAAACACUAGAAAUCGCAAGAUUUACGUAGUCAUUCACGGGCCAGAACUGUCGGGAAUAAUUUUCCUGCUACUUCGUAUUGCAUCUUGUGUUUUUAGCCAAUAUGAUAACUAAGGAAUAUGAGUAUAGUGGAAGCCUUCGGCACAGAUGAAGUCGAUGUUAGUGAAUGCGCAAUCGGGAUUUCUACGCGAGUACUCGCCGUGGUAUUUUUUAGAAUAUGCAUGCUGGCGUUUAGUAAUUCAUUUGAUAUUCGCGCUCAGCCAUCUUGGACUAGAGUUGGUCUGUCUACCCUGCAAAUGUUCGACAUUGACCACAUAUCUAAGGACAACGCCGGCUAUUUAGUGAACUGGGCCGCAUUACUCAGAUGAAUGCUGGCUCCUGGGAUCGUCCUGAACAUAAGAUGACACCAGAUCAUUUCAAGGAAGAUGCAUCAACAGUAUGAAAAGAAUUGGAAAUUUUGCCGCGGUUGGCUUUAUGCAAAGUUACAGGGCGAGGAAGGUAAACAUAGCCGAGCAAAUGUUUAAUAUUUAUGUUCUCAUUUUCUCUGAAGUGAAAAGAUGCCCAUAAAUACAGCUAAUGCGAGCAUCGCAGCUGCAUUGCUCGACUUGUCACCAGUAGAUACUGUCGUCACGAUCCACCAAAAUGCAAUUCGCAAGCAUAGUCAAUACCAUGCAAAAAAUGUCGAUCAAAAUUGUGUUAGCGAUUCUUAUAAUGGCAGUUGAUGGUUUAUCGACAGAUUACGAUUGGAGCUCCAAGCACUUCAACUAUCUCGUUGUUCAUAAUCCACCAUUUGAUUAUGUAUUUCGAGGACCCAAUGGUACCUUCACAAGUUAUGGGAGCUCACUGAACGUCGCCAUAUGGUUAGCGACAAAACUCAAAUACAC